Molecule: long non-coding RNA, 2453 nt
Organism: Dermochelys coriacea (leatherback sea turtle)
Lineage: Eukaryota; Metazoa; Chordata; Testudines; Dermochelyidae
Exons: 2
Source: RefSeq, a predicted model, not a curated record
GUAUAGUUUCUCAGGAGUUGAUUGUCAAUGUCAGAUCAGCAUAAUCCCUUUAAAAGAAAACACAGGUUUUCAGUAUGUUUGUUGUAGGGCAUUUCCUGAUUCUAGAUAAUAAUUCUCCCAGCAGACUUCUGGCCAUUACUGGAGAGGUGCUAAAGUCAGAUUCCUCCAUUCUUUCUUUGGAGCACAAGGAAAGGUAAAAGCACAAUCAAGACACAGAUAAGGACCAACGUUUACAAAGGACUGUUUUGUGUUUUCUUCUGCUUUACAAUAGAGUAAUCCAACAGUUGCCAAGUGCCACUUUGAAUUUAUAUUACUUUUUUUAAUUUUUUGAACGCUUCUUAAGGUUCAGGGUGCAACUUGUUUUUUAUUGUCACCCUGACUCCUCCUGUGGUUAUGUCACCUCCCAUUGUUGUCUACAGUAAACUUGCCUUUAGGAAAAAAACUGUGUGGGAGUACACAAGGCUUUAAAUAUCAUGUUCUGAAUUUCUGUGAAAAGGUGCUUCUUGAUUGGGGAAAAAUAUUUCCUGCUCCAGUGUUUUUUUUCCCCCUAUCCUGUUUUAGUCUUAAACAAGAAGUUUUUUUUUUCUGUUGGAUUUGAUUAGUGAUAAACUGGCUAACCAGUUCUAUCCUGAAAAUCUAAAUCAACAAGCAGCCAUCAGCAGCUCUGCAUAAUUACUAAACUCAAUCAGUAUUCCAGACUUUUGUCUCUAAGGUCUGGUUUACAUCUGAAAAGUAGAUCGACUCAGCUACAUCAGUCAGGGCUGUGAAAAGUUUAUGCCCCAUGUGAUGUAGUUAGGUGGAUAUAACCCCACUAUAGAUGCAGUUAGAUUGACUAAGAGUCUUCCUCCAACAUAGCUACUGCUUCUUUGGGAGGUGGAUUGCCUACAUCAAUGGAAAACAUUUUCUCUUGAUGUAGAAAGCACCCACGCUACAGGAGCACAGCUGUAGCACCAUAGAUAGUGCUGCUACUGUAGUGUAGACAUGGCCUUAGGCUUUGUCUACACUACAGAGAUUUUUUGACAAAAGGCAGCUUUUGAUGCCAAACAGUGGAGGUGUACAAGCUCCAAUGCCACUUUUGGUGACAAAACUCUCCUGUUUUGCCAGCAAAAUAAAACUACCUCGAUGAGAGACGUAGAGCUUUUUGAAACAAAGUUUUGUCCACAAAGUGCCAGCGUAGACACCAUGCAUGGUUUUGUCACUGUAAAUAGCUCCAGGAGGUAUCCCACAAUCCCCAUCCUGACCACUCUGGUCAGCAGUUUGAACUCUGCUGCCCUGCAGCUGGGCAAACAAGCAUCCACCCUCCCCCCUUUAAAGACCUGGGAAUUUUUGAAAUUUCACUUCCUGGUUUGCUUGGCCUGGAGAGCUCAUGUCGCAUCUUCCCAGCUGACCACGGCAGCUCCAUAUGGCAAACGCUCUCCCACUUAGACCACUGCAGAGUUGUUGGAUCUUCUGGGUAUAUGGGAAAAGGAGGCUGUCCAGUCCCAGCUCCGGUCCAGCUGUAGGAACUUCAGUACCUAUGGGCAGAUUUCUUGUGGCUUGUGUGAGAAGGGCUAUGAUUGGGACACGGUGCAGUGCAGAGCGAAGAUAAAGGAGCUGAGCCAGACGUACCAGAAGGCAAGGGAGGCAAACCAUCACUCCGCUGCUGCACCCAAGAGAUGCCGCUUCUACAAGGAGCUGGACGCCAUCCUCUGCAAUGACCCCACUUCUGCCGCCAAGAGCCCCAUGGACACUAUGGUGGGAUUGGAGGCAGAGGACAGUGGACCUAACCCCAAGGAUGAAGUUGUGGACAAGGAGAUGGAGUUGGAUAACGUUGUGGAGCCCCCUGCAGGGUGAUUCAGUACCACGUGAGUCAGGAACUCUCUUCUACUCCGGAAGGGUGUAGCCAGUCCCAGCACUCAGUCUCCGGCAAGCAUAAUGCAGGAGCGGAGACCCCGAUGCGGCCUUCAAGGGAAUCCCCUACACACUGGCAGAGAGCCUCUGCCAGAUAAGGAAGCAACCAAGACAGAGCCAGGAGGACAUGUUCAGAAAGGUGCUCCAAUCCUCCGAGUUAGAAAAAAGAGAGCUCCAUGGAACUGAGAGAGAAAUGGAAAGAUGGGAUAGAAAUAUAGUGAGGAGUCCAUUCAAAAGGCCCAUGAGCAGAUUAGUGACAGAGGAGCAAACAGAUGUUGAAGUUCCUAAUCACACUCCAGGCAGAAUAGAUGCAUGCUCGCCUCCACCUUUAGCCUAUACAGAACUGUUUUCCAUUCCCUUCCCAAACUCCUCCCAUACAUUCCUUGCAACUUCCCUGAACAUCUCGAUAUCCCGUUCACUCCAGCCCUUGAGACACCUUCCAAAAUGAUAGCUGGAUUUAUGCACAGCUAUGAGAGCCUCCACUGCUCAGCACUCUUACCUCCAUUCCCACCAACCCUUUCGUGUGAGUUAAUUGGUGUGUAAUAAAAACAGACUCUCUGAAA